GGGCAUGCUGUGGAGACAAAGGAAAGAGGUGAAUGAGCUGGGGUCUCCAGGUCCGCCCUAGUCACUGGGGAAUCAGAGGGGUGUCCUACAGCUGAGGGCGUGUGACAGGGAAACUCUGCAGCUUGCAGGUGUCCCUGAGUGUGCGUCGCAUGCUCUGUUCCUCCUCCACAGGAGGGUCGCUUCACUAGAGCGCCUGGCAGUUAGCCAGGAUCGCAUGGCUGCAUUCUAGCCGCGGUGACAGAGGAAGACUCCAUCUUGAAAAAGAAGCGGUGAAAGAAGACCACUGGAUGGAAAUCUCUCCCAAGCCAGCACCCUGUGAACCCUGAAGAUAACCCAUACGUAUCACACCCAGUGUGCAAGUGAUUGUUCUGGCACCAUGCCCAGCAAGUGCUAAACAUGGGUCAGAGUCAGACUACAUUUUCCUCAGUGCUCGGUGGUCCUGGCUGGCACUCGGGAAGCUCUGUUCCCAGGGAGCAGGUCUGAGAAGCAGUGGUGGAGUUCCCUGAGAUACCGUCAUUGCGUAGCCAGCAGCGGCAGUACAGCCAGCAAGCGGUAAAUUGCUAGAAUGAGAUGUUGUACUGUUUUUUAAAAUUAAAAAUGCAUGGAAGAAGAGCGGCCGGAUAUAGCAAGUAUGAAUAGGGAAUGCCAAGUGGAAUUUGACUUCAAGAUAAACAGUAGACUGAGUCACUGACCGUUUAUCAGCAUCCAAAUGGCAGGAAAGAGCACUGACAUUCUGUGCUGUGAGCAGGAGGAGUGUUAGGAAACUGGUCAGAGGAGAUGCGGACGAUGGCCAAAAAAUGAGCAAAUGGAAAAAGAAUAAUUCAGAUCCAGUUUCCAUUAUCCAGAAGUAUGGUGCCGAUGCGCUCAGAGCCAUGUCAGAUAUAUCUCUGCUGGAGCGAAUAGAUCUGUGCUAGAGCCUGGUUGUGGUGCUGCCAGAGAAACACAGCAGGACGAAGAAGAAAUAGAAUGUCUCUACAAUGAGGACACGGUUAGAAAAAGCCCCAACGUUACAGACCAGUGGACUCUGUCCUUCAUGCAGUCUCUCAUUGGCUUCUUUGAGACUGAAAUGGCAGAUUAUCUUCUUGACUUAAACCACAGUGAAACCUUCCUUCAAACUACAUUUCUUCCUAAAGACUUCACCUACUUUGCAAACCAUACCUGCCCUGAAAGGCUCCCUUCCAUGAAGGGCCCAAUAGACAUAAACAUGAGUGAAAUUGGAAUGGAUUACAUGCAUGAACUCUUCUCCAAAGACCCAACCAUCAAGCUCGGAGGUCACUGGAAGCCUUCUGAUUGCAUGCCUCGGUGGAAGGUGGCGAUCCUCAUCCCCUUUCGGAACCACCACGGGCACCUCCCAGUCCUGAUCAGACACCUGAUUCCCAUGCUUCAGCGCCAGCACCUGCAGUUUGCAUUUUAUGUGGUUGAACAAGUUGGUACCCAGCCCUUUAAUCGAGGCAUGCUUUUCAAUGUUGGCUUUUGAGAAGCGAUGAAGGACUUGGAUUGGGACUGUUUAAUUUUUCAUGAUGUGGAUCACAUACCAGAAAGUGAUUGCAACUAUUAUGGAUGUGGACAGAUGCCAAGGCAUUUUGCAGCCACAUUGGAUAAGUACAUGUAUCUGCUUCCUUAUACUGAGUUCUUUGGCAGAGUGAGUGGCUUAACAGUGGAACAGUUUCAGAAGAUCAACGGCUUUCCUAAUGCUUUCUGGGGAUGGGGUGGAGAAGAUGACGACCUCUGGAACAGGUUGGUACGCAGCCCUUUAAUCGAGGCAUGCUUUUCAACGUUGGCUUUUGAGAAGCCAUGAAGGACUUGGAUUGGGACUGUUUAAUUUUUCAUGAUGUAGAUCACAUACCAGAAAGUGAUCGCAACUAUUAUGGAUGUGGACAGAUGCCAAGGCAUUUUUCAGCCACAUUGGAUAAGUAUAUUUAUGUCUGCUUCCUUAUACUGAGUUCUUUGGCAGAGUGAGUGGCUUAACAGUGGAACAGUUUCGGAAGAUCAACGGCUUUCCUAAUGCUUUCUGGGGAUGGGGUGGAGAAGAUGACGACCUCUGGAACAGAGUCCAGAAUGCAGGCUAUUCCGUGAGCCGGCCAGAGGGUGACACAGAAAAAGUACAGGUCCAUUCCUUAUCACCAUCGAGGAGAAGUCCAGUUUCUUGGAAGGUAGGCUCUGCUAAGGAAGUCAAAAGAACAGCAAGGGCUGGAUGGCCUCAACAACCUGAACUACUUUGCAAACAUCACAUAUGACGCCUUGUAUAAAAACGUAACUGUCAACCUGACACCCGAACUGGUCUGCAGAAAUCUGGAAAAUGCCAGUUUUCCUCGUCCUCCCCUUUCUUUUCCAUACAACAUAUUUAUAUAUUGUGAUGAGGAGUACUUUCUGAAGAGUACUUCGUAUUUUUUUAAUUGCCUUGUUUGCCUUCAACGUCCUGGAUUGUCGUGGUUUCCAUGGGUGUGUGUAGGGGUGUGUGUGUGUGUGUGUGUGUGUACGUGUGGGUUAGGGCUUCUGUGCUGCAUGUGAUGGUUCUGUGGACAUAUGAUCCCCGCAAACUGUGUGAGUGAUCAUAUGUUUUUAUGUUUGUUUUCUUUUGAAGAAUAGAGUGGUAUUUAGAAAAUAAAUUCCAUAUCAAAGCUCUUAUCGGCUCGUAUGAGAGAGCAGGCUCCUGCCCUUGAAAAUGCUGGUAAGCUAUAGCAUAUGUUUUUUAAAACUUUUAAGCAUUUCAUGCUUUAAAAUACCUUCACAAGGGAGCAUUACACACAGAGGUUCAUUUGGUUUACCUUUGUUUUAGGGUGCAUAGAGCAAUAAAGGACCCCCAACCCCAUUUUGCCCUCCGCCAUGCAACCCCACCCCCACCGGGCCUUUGUCCUUGCCUCAGCUUUUCUCCCCUUCUCAUUCUCCUCCCCCUUUUCCUCACUGAAGGCUGUGAAUGGCUUUCAUUGUGACAACACUGUGAUGUCAUUUGGAAGGAUUUGCCAGUAGAGACUGAUUCUGAGUUACAGGUGGCAGUGUUGUUUGAAGCUCUACAUUACUGUAAUUACCACCAAGUACACACUGUUGGCAAAAGACUAACACCUGAGUUUUAAAAUGCUGAUUUGAGAACAAAAGGAAAGGUCUCUUCUCAGUGCUUAAGGUGGGGUCACAUCGAUACCCCUGUGGUCACAAGUCUGUCUGAUGAGUGUGGAAUCUCUGAAUGUAACAGUCAUGGGUCCCCCGGGUCUUGAAUAUUAUAUGGGAAAUGUAGUUAAAAAUGUACAGCCAGGCCCGUGUGCUGUUAAUAGUGUGGAAUUGUCAUGUUAAAAAAAAACAGGAACCAAAUGUGACCUUGUGUAUAUGCUGACAGCUGAAAUUCUUUAUGGCUACUGAUGGGUGGCCCCUUAAAUUAAUCUUGUCUUUGAUUGCUGUGUGCAGGGAAAGGUGUCCCUGUUCAUGCUGUUUUCAGGGGAAAGCGGGUACUUGCAAGAAUACUCAUUUUGACAUAAUAGGUCCUCUUGUCUGAGAUCCUCUACCACAGACAUUAAUAGCUGAGCAGCAGCCACAUGGAUUGAUUGUAUCCACCACCGUUGACAAUAGCAUUGAGCAUAGCUAGCUUAUUUCCAUCACUACGUGUUUUUGAACUUGCUCUUAUGUUUUAAGAGGUGCCAGGGGUACAUUUCUGCACUGAAAUCUAAAGAUGUUUUAAAAAACACUUUUCACAAAAAAUAGUCCUUUGUCAUUACAUUUUUUACUCAUGUGUUUGUACAUUUUUGUAUGUUAAUUUAUGAAUGAUUUUUUCAGUAAAAAAUACAUAUUCAAGAACCAAA
Non-coding RNA from Callithrix jacchus (white-tufted-ear marmoset), 3791 nucleotides. Lineage: Eukaryota; Metazoa; Chordata; Mammalia; Primates; Cebidae. The record is from RefSeq and is a predicted model, not a curated record.